UGAGCCGGGUCCAGACGGCGCCGAGGGCCCAGCGCCGGGCGGCGGCGGAGCAUUUCGUUCCGCUCCGCUCUGCUCCCGCGCGGCUUUGCACCGCAAACCUGCCCCGGUUACGAGACCUCAGUGCUGGCUUAGAACAGAGCGCGUGAAGUAUUUGAAGAAGUUGGUUCUUUGGACAGCCGGGCCAGCAGGUGGCAUGGUGGUUAAGGUGCUGGACACUCCCAUAUGGCCGACCACGUCAGCAGCUGUGGAGUCACGUUGUAUGAAGCCUUGGAUGAACGUACGCCACACGGAACAUCCCUGUCCUCUGCCAGCAGAGUAUUGGAUCUGGGUGAGCAGGGUGUCAAACAGGAGGACUGAGCUUCCCGCUGCAGAGCAGCGCCCCACUCCGCUCUGACCCCGCCACUGCCUUACCUGUAAUCUGACAACUUCUGGCUGCAUCCCUGCACUUCCUGAAGCAGACAGUAGCCUAUGUGGCCCGUGCACAACUCACCCUCUUUUGGUUUAAUAGUGGAACCCUUUAGUUCUUAGGUUUUUGCUAAUGCUUACUCUGCCGUUGGUCUCCUGUGAGGCCGCUUUCUUGGGAAAGUGUCGCUGUACGCACCUGUGACAUUGCAGCCUGUGUCAGAGAGCACUGUCUUCUACCUAAGUUUGAUCUGCCCUGUGUUGUAGACCCUUGCCCAACACAUCUGAAUUUGUUUCAUUGUAAAACCUACAUCUUGUCCUUACAUGCUGCCAAACAGGGCUUUGUGCCCAAAUCUACCAAAGCUUCUCUUCCUGUGAUAUAACUGGACAUUCUGCUCAACAGCUUUUACCUGAACUGUCCUGAAUAAGUCUCUAUUUCGCAAUCAGAAAAAUGAUUACAAAAAAAUAAAGUUUGGUCCUUUUGUU
Molecule: long non-coding RNA, 888 nt
Organism: Tupaia belangeri chinensis (Chinese tree shrew)
Lineage: Eukaryota; Metazoa; Chordata; Mammalia; Scandentia; Tupaiidae
Exons: 2
Source: RefSeq, a predicted model, not a curated record